RNAcentral lists this ribosomal RNA (301 nucleotides) under uncultured bacterium. RNAcentral's name for it is "partial 16S ribosomal RNA". It matches the Rfam family "Bacterial small subunit ribosomal RNA", at positions 509 to 809 of the family's 1533-position model. The record is from RNAcentral.
CAGCCGCCGCGGGAAUACGUAGGGUCCGAGCGUUGUCCGGAAUUAUUGGGCGUAAAGGGCUCGUAGGCGGUUUGUUGCGUCGGGAGUGAAAACCCAGGGCUUAACUUUGGGCUUGCUUUCGAUACGGGCAGACUUGAGGCAUUGAGGGGAGAACGGAAUUCCUGGCGUAGCGGUGAAAUGCGCAGAUAUCAGGAGGAACACCGGUGGCGAAGGCGGUUCUCUGGCAAUGUUCUGACGCUGAGGAGCGAAAGUGUGGGGAGCGAACAGGAUUAGAUACCCCCGUAGUCCCUGUCUCUUAUAA